AUUGAACGCUGGCGGCAGGCCUAACACAUGCAAGUCGAGCGGAUGAAGGGAGCUUGCUCCUGGAUUCAGCGGCGGACGGGUGAGUAAUGCCUAGGAAUCUGCCUGGUAGUGGGGGAUAACGUCCGGAAACGGGCGCUAAUACCGCAUACGUCCUGAGGGAGAAAGUGGGGGAUCUUCGGACCUCACGCUAUCAGAUGAGCCUAGGUCGGAUUAGCUAGUUGGUGGGGUAAAGGCCUACCAAGGCGACGAUCCGUAACUGGUCUGAGAGGAUGAUCAGUCACACUGGAACUGAGAAACGGUCCAGACUCCUAAGGGAGGCAGCAGUGGGGAAUAUUGGACAAUGGGCGAAAGCCUGAUCCAGCCAUGCCGCGUGUGUGAAGAAGGUCUUCAGAUUGUAAAGCACUUUAAGUUGGGAGGAAGGGCAGUAAGUUAAUACCUUGCUGUUUUGACGUUACCAACAGAAUAAGCACCGGCUAACUUCGUG
RNAcentral lists this ribosomal RNA (484 nucleotides) under uncultured bacterium. RNAcentral's name for it is "partial 16S ribosomal RNA". It matches the Rfam family "Bacterial small subunit ribosomal RNA", at positions 30 to 507 of the family's 1533-position model. The record is from RNAcentral.